UGCAUCGGCCGGGUAUCGAACCCUGGCCGCCCGCGUGGCAGGCGAGCAUUCUACCACUGAACCACCGAUGC
This 71-nucleotide transfer RNA is filed under the name Cordylochernes scorpioides. RNAcentral describes it as "tRNA-Gly". Lineage: Eukaryota; Metazoa; Arthropoda; Arachnida; Pseudoscorpiones; Chernetidae. The record is from RNAcentral.